This 521-nucleotide ribosomal RNA is filed under the name uncultured bacterium. Its description in RNAcentral is "bacterial SSU rRNA". It matches the Rfam family "Bacterial small subunit ribosomal RNA", at positions 28 to 504 of the family's 1533-position model. The record is from RNAcentral.
GAUGAACGCUGGCGGCGUGCCUAACACAUGCAAGUCGAACGAGAAGCUAACUUCUGAUUCCUUCGGGAUGAUGAAAUUAGCAGAAAGUGGCGAACGGGUGAGUAACGCGUGGGUAAUCUACCCUGUUUUAGUGGGGGAUAAUCCUCCGAAAGGAGGGCUAAUACCGCAUAAUAUCUUCUCCUCUAAAGAAGAGAAGAUUAAAGAUGGCCUCUAUACUAUGCUAUCGCUUCAGGAUGAGCCCGCGUCCUAUUAGUUAGUUGGUGGGGUAAUGGCCUACCAAGACCACAAUGGGUAGCCGGUCUGAGAGGAUGUACGGCCACACUGGGACUGAGAUACGGCCCAGACUCCUACGGGAGGCAGCAGUGGGGAAUAUUGCGCAAUGGGGGAAACCCUGACGCAGCGACGCCGCGUGGAUGAUGAAGGCCUUUGGGUUGUAAAAUCCUGUUCUGGGGGAAGAAAGCUUAAGGGUCCAAUAAACCCUUAAGUCUGACGGUACCCCAAGAGAAAGCUCCGCUAAUUAU